RNAcentral lists this ribosomal RNA (321 nucleotides) under uncultured Prevotella sp. RNAcentral's name for it is "partial 16S ribosomal RNA". The record is from RNAcentral. Lineage: Bacteria; Pseudomonadati; Bacteroidota; Bacteroidia; Bacteroidales; Prevotellaceae.
GGAGUUUGGACCGUGUCUCAGUUCCAAUGUGGGGGACCUUCCUCUCAGAACCCCUACUGAUCGUCGCCUUGGUGGGCCGUUACCCCGCCAACAAGCUAAUCAGACGCAUCCCCAUCCAUUACCGUUGAAAACUUUGGUCUCGCUUAGAUGUCUGCACGAGACCGCAUCAGGGAUUAAUCCAGUUUUCACUGGGCUAUACCUGAGUAAUGGGCAGGUUGGAUACGCGUUACUCACCCGUGCGCCGGUCGUCAUCUGGCUGAGCAAGCUCAGCCAAUGUUACCCCUCGACUUGCAUGUGUUAAGCCUGUAGCUAGCGUUCAUC